CCAAAGGGGAAAAGGGGACAGCGGUGAAAUUGUAUGGGCGGUGGCCGAGUGAAGAAAUACAUUUCAUUUCCCUUCUUACCGACCAAGUACUAAGAGCGAGACCGGGAGAGAGAACUCUGCAUUUUUUCCUUAGGCAGCAACAACCGAGAGAGAAAACAGAGCAUCCGAAUAGCUUUCCCAUUUCUGCCUUCUUUAACCGACCAAAACUGAGAGCUAAAGUGAAGGAUAGGAAGAGAAACUUUGUUAGUUUCUUCACUAAUUAGCUUCAACCGAGAGAAAGAGUGAAAGCUGCUGCAAUAUUAGGAGAAACCUAAGCUACGAGCAGGAGCAAUCUGCCGUUAUUAAAAUUUAACGGAGAAGGUAAGAAUCUUGUAACCACCUUUUUAUUUCUUGAAUAUAACUGAAAAUAUAGGAUGCAUGUUAGUUUUAGCAAGGAAUAUUGAGUUUCAACCGAAGGAAAAUCUGUUAGAGAGGGAAAAUUUUGGAACUGGACUGCAGUGCAGGAACGGGAGUUUAUUAUCUAAUGUUGAAGCCUGUAAUUAGUGUAAAAUUGGAAACUAAUGUGAGAAAUGCAUGAACUAUGGUUAUCUCAGGUUUAUAAGGGGUUUAGUUGAAGAAACUAUGGGAAAAGUUAGAUUUUUGGAUUGAAACCGAGGGAAGUUAUCUGCUGGAAAUUUUUUCAGGUUAACCGAGAAGGGGAAAAAUGGACAGAUUUCUAGCUGUCUUCAUGAUUUUGGCCUUGAGUUUCUAUGUGAAACUGUAAUAUAUAUUAUAUAUUAGCUUGGUAUGAUCAUGCAUGGAAGAUUGAUAUACAAGUAAAAACACUUUGAAGAGCUUCAUGUUGUAUAAUUAGCCGCUGCAUGCGUUUCUUUCAAUUUGGCCGAGUAGAAGGCCUGGUUCAGCUAUGGUUUCGGCUCCUUGACUGUUCCCUGCAAAACCUUAGCUUCUAAAGCUGACUUACAGAGUUGAAACCUGUACUAAUGCCUCUAAACUUUAACCAGAAAAAAAAAAAACAGGAAUGAGUAGGAACUAAACUGAGUGAUGAAGGGGGGAACAAGUUCACUGAUUGCAGGAUGUCGGCCGAGGGAAUGAAGCAGAAUGUGCUUCUGUCCGGCCAUUUUUGACCCUGAAAAUGUGAGAACUGGGUAUCAAUAUCUUCAUAAGAAAUGUAGGCCUAUAUCUUAGCUUUGAAACGCUAUAAAAUUUGCCUCAAUCCGAUAAGCGUAACCCUAAUUAUGAUCGUAAUACCGGAGGAUGGCAAAGCUGCCUUUCUCGUUGCCUUUCAUUUUGUUUCCGAAUGCACUUUGCUAAGAUGCUAGCCGUGAGGAACUAGUUUUAACCAGCAUUUCUUCUAAUUUCCAACCUGUAAGCUUUCAUAAAUGAUAGCUACGAUUGUUCUGAGAAUUAACAGCUAUACCUAGUUCCAUGAGGAGAGUUAAACUAAGACGAUUGAGUGAAAAACUCACGAUAGUUAUAUACGUAAAGUGGCCUCUAAUUAUGUUUUUAACUCACGAUAGUUAUAUACGUAAAGUGGCCUCUAAUUAUGUACUAUGGUCGUCACAAAUAUUUUAAAGACUAUAAAAUUUGAGUGACUGGUGUAGUGGAAUAAAAUCUAAUUACCAAAUAACCUAGGGAUUCAUUAAUUAAAAAGGGACCAAUGGAGUACUUCUAAGCCUUAAUUCUAGAAUCUUGAGUGGAAAAUGAUUUAAUUCUAAAAUAAAUAUUUUAUAAAUUAUUAACUCGGAAAAUACGUAUGUAUCUUGAUUUAAGAUAAUAAAGUCAAGGAAUUUCGAACUAAAUUGGAAAAUAAAUAUUGAGUAAUAAAUAUCGCGUAUAUUUUGCAUUUAGUCAAACUUGAUUUUAAUAGUUUAAACAAUAAAAUAGAAUAAAUAUUGAAUGUAUUAUAGUUAUAUUUAAAGCCAAACCUAAUUCAAAUGAUUUAAAUAAUAGGUAGAUAGCAACAAAUUGUAGAUUUACCUUGGAAUUAUAUAUUUAUCUCAGGAACUAGCUGCGAGCCAAGAAACAGACUCGAAGCUCGAGUUACUUGAAUAAUUGGUGAGUGUUUUCCGAAUUUAUGUGUUAAACUGCUUAUGUGUACCUAAGUGCAAUUAUAUGGCAAAUGUGUUUAUUAUGAAAUAUUGCUAAGUGAUUUACUUGAAUAAUUGGUGAGUGUUUUCCGAAUUUAUGUGUUAAACUGCUUAUGUGUACUUAAGUGCAAUUAUAUGGCAAAUGUGUUUAUUAUGAAAUAUUGCUAAGUGAUUCAUUGUGAAGUGUUUUCAAUUGUCCCUCGCCUUCUAAGUUGAGGGUGUACUUUAUCGCACUCGUCUUAGUUGAGUUUGAAGGUCGAUAAUUGAUCGAGUGAUAUUGUAAGUGUGCAUGACUGUAAGCCGUGUGUGUAUUUUAUCACACCGGCUGAACUGGGCCCCAAAACCCUCUGUUCAACGGACUAUUCGAGCCAGCAAAGGGCUUGGUCGGGUAGGACGGUAGCUUUGGGUAAGUGUUUCGGUAUGCUCGAGUAUUACCAUGGUGUAGCAGAUUACUGAUAUUGAUAUGGCCAUCCAAGUGAGGGAAGUGUUUAUUGUUUUGGAGGUUAUAAGGAGGAGUUCGGCGGAGUGUGUAGUGCAUUGAAGUGACUCUAAUGCGAGCACCGUAUCCUUUUAAAAGUGAUUGUUUAGUGAAGUGUUUCCUCAAUUGUUUAAUGAAAGUGAUUGUACAGUGAAAUUUGCACUACUUGCUUAAUUGUACUGAUUUAAGUGUUUAUUAAAUGUUACUUGCUCGGCAAACCUCACUGGGAUUUAGCUCAACCUUUUAGCUUUGUUUUCCUUACAGGAGUUGGAGAUUGAAAAGUGAUUGGAUGGAAUUGGAAAGUUAUUUUGGAAAGAUCCAUCACUAUGUGUAUAUAUUGGAGUCACGUUUUCUUUUGUAUUUUAAGAUGGUUGAAUCUUCUGUUUUGAGUUGAUGCAAUAUUAAGAAUGGAUGUUUAGAACGUGUAUUUUGUUUCUUUUAGUGGACAAACCUAUGUUUCCAGUUGAUUGGAGUUGUAUUUAAGAGUGAAUGUUCAGUUGUUCAAUGAUAAUGUUAUCUCUGAAGUUAAUGUAAGUGAGUGAGUCCUGGCGAGAGUCAGGCAGGCGAUCCGCUAACUUCUAGGGUAGACCCUAGGAGCAGGUGGGGUCGUCACAGUUUCUUACUAUAACCUUUGGUCUAUUUUACUAACCUUUCAUUCCUUACCAAGAAUAUUGUCCUCCCAAGUUUUUUACAUAACUAAGCAAGUUUUCAAGCCUUACAGCCUAAGUCUGAUGACUUGAUAAAAUUUUAUCAACAAAAAUUAAGCAAUGUUCCUUCUUUUCCACCGAGACGCUCCUUAAAAAAGGUCUAAACCAUUGCAAGCAACAUUUUUGUGACCUUUUAUAGUUUAAGACAUUAAGAAGUACUAAGUAUGAUUGGAG
This 3446-nucleotide long non-coding RNA is filed under the name Coffea arabica (coffee). RNAcentral describes it as "long non-coding RNA (CARA_LNC000113)". The record is from RNAcentral. Lineage: Eukaryota; Viridiplantae; Streptophyta; Magnoliopsida; Gentianales; Rubiaceae.